UGCCCAUGAUGACUCGCCAUGCUAAUACCGACCCCCAGCUGGGCCCGCAGCUUGGCUCUGGCGUGGGGGGGUGAGUUCAACUCUUUUCGCGAAGAGCUGAGGCGC
This is a small nucleolar RNA of Alligator mississippiensis (American alligator), 105 nucleotides long. The record is from Rfam. Lineage: Eukaryota; Metazoa; Chordata; Crocodylia; Alligatoridae.